UAGGAAGGAGUUAGAACCCAAGAUAAAUGCAGAUAGGAAGAGGAAAGCAUGUUUGGAUUGUUUUUUUCAAGUGGCACUCAGAAAUAAAAGUUUGGAGAAACAUGGCUCUGAAGCUCUGACAAAUUUGCAUUUGCAAAAAUAACUCCUACAAGACUUUCAGAAGUCUAGGAAAAUUGUGGCUUUUGGAUUAUUACAUUACCAAAUUUGUGGAGUUUAAUAGGUUUCAACUGUCAAUGUGCAUUAAAAUUUCCUGGGAGCAGGGGGAUGGGCUUUUAAAUUCUGAUGUCCAGUGGCAUGGUCUUGGCUUACUGCAACCUCCGCCUCCCAGGUUCAAGUAAUUCUGCCUCAGCCUCCUGAGUAGCUGGGAUUACAGGCGCCUGCUACCUCGCCCGGCUUUUUUGUUGUUGUUAUUUUUAGUAGAGACGGUGUUUCACCAUGUUGGUCAGGCUGGUCAUGAACUCGUGACCUUGUGAUCCGCCCGCCUUGGCCUUCCAAAGUGCUGGGAUUACAGGCGUGAGCCACUGUGCCCGGCUGUUCAUCUGUUUUUCAAUACCUUUAAGUUCAGUUUCCCUUACAAAGCCCACUUUUUUCUUAGUGGGAAUCUCUUGUACCACUUAACACCUACAUUCCUUAAUUUUUAAAGUUAAAACACUUAUAUACUAUAAAAUGGACACAUCUUAAGCAUACAGCUUGAUGAAGAUUUACAAAGUAAACAUGCCAGUUGAAACACCACUCUGAUCAGGAUGUGGAACAUAACCAGCACUCCAGAAAUCUCUCUGCCAUCAUUACCACCACUGGUUAUCCUAGCCACUCUUCUGACUUGUAUCACCAUAGAUAGGUUUUACUUGUUUUGAAGCCAUCUAUAAAUGGAAUCAUGGAAGUUUGGGCUUCCCUGAGAGCAGAUCUUCAGAGAAAAAAAACUUGAGUGCAGUAGUUUAUUUGGCGUUUGGCUCCAGGAUGCAGGAGUGGGAAAGAUGGUAGAGAGACAGAAGAAAAAUCAAUAGAAAGGUAUUACGGAGGUUGGAUAUAUAAUGCUUCCCAGAAUUGUCUGACUGAACAGGAGGCUGAAAUAUUUAUCCGCUGGCUCCUGUUUCCAAUUGAUUGAGGGAUGCCCCCAAGGAAGUUAACUUCACUGCAAUUCUGAGCUGUAAUUGACUUUAAUAAGCUCCAACAGCACUGAAAGACGUUUGGAUUAUUUUCAGUUUGGGAUAAUACUACUAUGAACAUUCCUGUACAUGUCUUUUGAGAACACGCAUGUGUACAUUUGUGAUGGGUAUGUAAUGGGGUGGAAUUACUGGUUCAUAGAAUAUGUGCAUAUUCACCUUUAGAUAUAGAGGCUGCCAACCAUUUUUCUGAAGUGAUUAUACUAAUUUAUAUUCUCACUAUCUGUAAAUGAACAUUUCUGUUGCUCCACAUCCUUGCUGGCACUUGGUAUUGAUUGAUUUCUCUUUUAAUUUUAGGCUUUUUAAUACGUGUGUAGUGAUAUCUCACUUGCUGUUUGUUUGCUUUUUGGUAAAUUUUUUAUUGAAGUAUAAUUUACAUACAGAAAAUCACACAAAUUGUGUACAGGUGUGAUUUUUCACACCGUGAAUACAUGCAAAAACUAGUAUGAAAUUAAGAGUUGGAACAUCACCAGUACUCCAGAAGCCCCAUGCAUGUUCUCUUCCAGUUACUAUACCACUAUCCCAAGGAUGGUCUAUUAAUUCAACAGCAUAGAUUUAUUUUGCCUGUUUUUCAACUUCAAAUAAAUGAAAUAAUAUGCACUCUUGUGUCUGGCUUCUUUGACUCAACAGUAUGUCUAUACAACUCAUCUGUAUUGUUGCAUGUUGUAGUUCGUUCAUUCAUACUGUUGUAUACAGUAUUGAAUUGUAUAAAUUACUCAUUCUGUUACUAUGCAUUUGGGCUGUUUCCAGUUUUGGCUAUUAUGAAUAAAGCUGCUAUGAACAUUCUAGAAUUGUCUUGUUGAACAUAUGUAUUUCUGCUGGGUAUAAAGCUUAAAAAGGAAAUUACUGGAAAAUAAGAGUAUUGCCUCAUGUUACCUACCUGCUAUUUUCACUGUAAUUUCAUCUAUUCUGGUUGAUGUGUAAUAGUGUCAUAUUAGCAUUUUUUCUUUGCUUUUAUAAAAUAAAUGUUUUUAUGUUGGAAAAAAAAAAAAAAAA
This 2159-nucleotide long non-coding RNA is filed under the name Homo sapiens (human). RNAcentral describes it as "long independently transcribed non-coding RNA 641, transcript variant 2 (LINC00641)". Lineage: Eukaryota; Metazoa; Chordata; Mammalia; Primates; Hominidae. The record is from RNAcentral.